Molecule: transfer RNA, 64 nt
Filed under: Haemaphysalis yeni
Lineage: Eukaryota; Metazoa; Arthropoda; Arachnida; Ixodida; Ixodidae
Description: tRNA-Trp
Source: RNAcentral
UAAGAUUUUAAGUUAAUUAAACUAUUUGCCUUCAAAGCAAAAAAUAUUUUUAAAUAAAUCUUAA